CCUGCCCCUAAAAGUGUGGCAGGCUUGGCUGCUGUGUCACAUGGAUGUCAGUAGGUGGCAGAGAGGAGAGAGGCUAUGUCUAUGUUCAGUGCUCUGAAGGAUUAGAAGCCUAACACU
Molecule: small nucleolar RNA, 117 nt
Filed under: Mus pahari (shrew mouse)
Lineage: Eukaryota; Metazoa; Chordata; Mammalia; Rodentia; Muridae
Description: snoRNA (MGP_PahariEiJ_G0034640.1)
Rfam family: Small nucleolar RNA SNORA17
About the family: snoRNA ACA 17 belongs to the H/ACA family of snoRNAs and is predicted to guide pseudouridylation of the 28S rRNA at positions U4659 and U4598.
Source: RNAcentral